RNAcentral lists this ribosomal RNA (449 nucleotides) under uncultured bacterium. RNAcentral describes it as "partial 16S ribosomal RNA". It matches the Rfam family "Bacterial small subunit ribosomal RNA", at positions 29 to 523 of the family's 1533-position model. The record is from RNAcentral.
AGCGAACGCUGGCGGCAAGCUAAACACAUGCAAGUCGAACGAUGUAGCAAUACAUAGUGGCGGACGGGUGCAUAACACGUGGGAAUCUGCCUUUAGGUACGGAAUAACUCAGGGAAACUUGGGCUAAUACCGUAUAAAAUCUCCGGAUCAAAGAUUUAUCGCCUAAAGAUGAGCCCGCGUCAGAUUAGCUAGUUGGUGGGGUAACGGCCUACCAAGGCGACGAUCUGUAGCUGGUCUUAGAGGAUGAUCAGCCACACUGGGACUGAGACACGGCCCAGACUCCUACGGGAGGCAGCAGUGGGGAAUAUUGGACAAUGGGGGAAACCCUGAUCCAGCUAUGCCGCGUGAGUGAUGAAGGCCUUAGGGUUGUAAAGCUCUUUUAGAUGGGAAGAUAAUGACGGUACCAUCAGAAAAAGCCCCGGCUAACUUCGUGCCAGCAGCCGCAGUAA